GACGAACGCUGGCGGCGUGCCUAAUACAUGCAAGUAGAACGCUGAAGAGAGGAGCUUGCUCUUCUUGGAUGAGUUGCGAACGGGUGAGUAACGCGUAGGUAACCUGCCUUGUAGCGGGGGAUAACUAUUGGAAACGAUAGCUAAUACCGCGUAACAAUGGAUGACCCAUGUCAUUUAUUUGAAAGGGGCAAAUGCUCCACUACAAGAUGGACCUGCGUUGUAUUAGCUAGUAGGUGAGGUAACGGCUCACCUAGGCGACGAUACAUAGCCGACCUGAGAGGGUGAUCGGCCACACUGGGACUGAGACACGGCCCAGACUCCUACGGGAGGCAGCAGUAGGGAAUCUUCGGCAAUGGGGGCAACCCUGACCGAGCAACGCCGCGUGAGUGAAGAAGGUUUUCGGAUCGUAAAGCUCUGUUGUAAGUCAAGAACGAGUGUGAGAGUGGAAAGUUCACACUGUGACGGUAGCUUACCAGAAAGGGACGGCUAACUACGUG
Molecule: ribosomal RNA, 497 nt
Filed under: uncultured bacterium
Lineage: Bacteria
Description: partial 16S ribosomal RNA
Rfam family: Bacterial small subunit ribosomal RNA
Source: RNAcentral